RNAcentral lists this ribosomal RNA (481 nucleotides) under uncultured bacterium. Its description in RNAcentral is "partial 16S ribosomal RNA". It matches the Rfam family "Bacterial small subunit ribosomal RNA", at positions 28 to 506 of the family's 1533-position model. The record is from RNAcentral.
GGCGAACGCUGGCGGCGUGCUUAACACAUGCAAGUCGAACGCUGAAGCUCAGCUUGCUGGGUGGAUGAGUGGCGAACGGGUGAGUAACACGUGAGUAACCUGCCCUCUUCUUUGGGAUAACGCCCGGAAACGGGUGCUAAUACUGGAUAUUCACUGAUUCUCGCAUGGGGGUUGGUGGAAAGGUUUUUUCUGGUGGGGGAUGGGCUCGCGGCCUAUCAGCUUGUUGGUGGGGUGAUGGCCUACCAAGGCUUUGACGGGUAGCCGGCCUGAGAGGGUGACCGGUCACAUUGGGACUGAGAUACGGCCCAGACUCCUACGGGAGGCAGCAGUGGGGAAUAUUGCACAAUGGGCGAAAGCCUGAUGCAGCGACGCCGCGUGAGGGAUGGAGGCCUUCGGGUUGUAAACCUCUUUCGCUCAUGGUCAAGCCGCAGCUUUGGGUUGUGGUGAGGGUAGUGGGUAAAGAAACGCCGGCUAACUACGU